GAGCAAGAAACUAAGAGUGUUAUGGUUUCGGCCCAUAAACGUGGUUACUUAUUCGUACCCUUGUUCU
Molecule: transfer RNA, 67 nt
Filed under: Pseudunio marocanus
Lineage: Eukaryota; Metazoa; Mollusca; Bivalvia; Unionida; Margaritiferidae
Description: tRNA-Arg
Source: RNAcentral